This 1038-nucleotide ribosomal RNA is filed under the name Acinetobacter sp. RNAcentral's name for it is "bacterial SSU rRNA". It matches the Rfam family "Bacterial small subunit ribosomal RNA", at positions 434 to 1465 of the family's 1533-position model. Lineage: Bacteria; Pseudomonadati; Pseudomonadota; Gammaproteobacteria; Moraxellales; Moraxellaceae. The record is from RNAcentral.
UAAGCGAGGAGGAGGCUACUUGGAUUAAUACUCUAGGAUAGUGGACGUUACUCGCAGAAUAAGCACCGGCUAACUCUGUGCCAGCAGCCGCGGUAAUACAGAGGGUGCGAGCGUUAAUCGGAUUUACUGGGCGUAAAGCGUGCGUAGGCGGCUUUUUAAGUCGGAUGUGAAAUCCCUGAGCUUAACUUAGGAAUUGCAUUCGAUACUGGGAAGCUAGAGUAUGGGAGAGGAUGGUAGAAUUCCAGGUGUAGCGGUGAAAUGCGUAGAGAUCUGGAGGAAUACCGAUGGCGAAGGCAGCCAUCUGGCCUAAUACUGACGCUGAGGUACGAAAGCAUGGGGAGCAAACAGGAUUAGAUACCCUGGUAGUCCAUGCCGUAAACGAUGUCUACUAGCCGUUGGGGCCUUUGAGGCUUUAGUGGCGCAGCUAACGCGAUAAGUAGACCGCCUGGGGAGUACGGUCGCAAGACUAAAACUCAAAUGAAUUGACGGGGGCCCGCACAAGCGGUGGAGCAUGUGGUUUAAUUCGAUGCAACGCGAAGAACCUUACCUGGUCUUGACAUAGUAAGAACUUUCCAGAGAUGGAUUGGUGCCUUCGGGAACUUACAUACAGGUGCUGCAUGGCUGUCGUCAGCUCGUGUCGUGAGAUGUUGGGUUAAGUCCCGCAACGAGCGCAACCCUUUUCCUUAUUUGCCAGCGGGUUAAGCCGGGAACUUUAAGGAUACUGCCAGUGACAAACUGGAGGAAGGCGGGGACGACGUCAAGUCAUCAUGGCCCUUACGACCAGGGCUACACACGUGCUACAAUGGUCGGUACAAAGGGUUGCUACCUAGCGAUAGGAUGCUAAUCUCAAAAAGCCGAUCGUAGUCCGGAUUGGAGUCUGCAACUCGACUCCAUGAAGUCGGAAUCGCUAGUAAUCGCGGAUCAGAAUGCCGCGGUGAAUACGUUCCCGGGCCUUGUACACACCGCCCGUCACACCAUGGGAAUUUGUUGCACCAGAAGUAGGUAGUCUAACCGCAAGGAGGACGCUACCACGGGUGG